Molecule: ribosomal RNA, 641 nt
Filed under: uncultured fungus
Lineage: Eukaryota; Fungi
Description: eukaryotic LSU rRNA
Rfam family: 5.8S ribosomal RNA (bases 215-368)
Source: RNAcentral
AAGUCGUAACAAGGUUUCCGUANGUGAACCUGCGGAAGGAUCAUUAGUGAAUUAAACAUGCUUGGUGUCUUCGCUUCGGCAAGGCCCUUGCUUAAAUCACAUCCUAACACCUGUGAACUGUAAGACGUAUGAUGAGGUCUUUGGCCAAGUCAUCGUCUGCCCAUUUUUAACAAACAAUUAAUGUAACAAACGUAGUCUUAUUAUAACCUAAUAAAACUUUCAACAACGGAUCUCUUGGCUCUCGCAUCGAUGAAGAACGCAGCGAAAUGCGAUAAGUAAUGUGAAUUGCAGAAUUCAGUGAAUCAUCGAAUCUUUGAACGCACCUUGCGCUCUUUGGUAUUCCGAAGAGCAUGCCUGUUUGAGUGUCAUGAAAAUAUCAACCUUGACUUGGGUUUUGUGCUCUAGUCUUGGCUUGGAAUUGGGUGCUUGCCGCUUUUACGAGCGGCUCACCUUAAAUGUAUUAGCUGGAUCUGUCUUUGAGACUUGGUUUGACUUGGCGUAAUAAGUAUUUCGCUAAGGACAUUCUUCGGAGUGGCCUCGUUUCUAGGACGCUUGUCCGCUUCCCAAUACAAGUUCCACCUCGUGGACAUGACUUUUUUAUUAUCUGGCCUCAAAUCAGGUAGGACUACCCGCUGAACUUA